CUCUUAUUCAUCUCUGCAUUCCCAUGGCUUCAUGCUACGUAUGACUGUAAACUCCUUCUGCGAAGAUUCCACUUUCUGAACGGUGCUGAGCCCAAUGCUGGGACUGCCUAUUGGCAGAUCCAAAUGGAGGCAUAACACAGGUUUUAGCCUCACAAAUCCGAAUAUGGGGAUCAAUCGGGAUUCAUGAUCCAAGUAAUGUUUUAGGUGUUGAGGUCCAAGACACCCAGGAGAGCAAGCAGCUUAAGGGAAGUCUAAAUGGCAGAGAGGAAGCUAACUCUUCACCACCUUGGCUUUCCCUGCUCAAGGGACUUUGGGGCAGUAACUGAGAAGCGCGAUGAAGAAUAAAUUUGGAAUUAUAGCCAGUUCCUUAACACUAUCUUGUUUGAUGGACUCUCUCCCCUUAACCGCUUUAUCAAAUGCUUCACCAAUGUUCUCAAAGGGCGCCAUGAUUUAUCACAGCUCAACCAACAUAUCCAAAUGGGAUGUUCCAGUGGUUGUAUAAAUUAAAGUUCCUUCGGAAUUCUAGAUCAACUGAAAUAGACUAAGAUUGCCUUUUCUAUAAGAUUGUGGCUCUACACAAUCGAAUCUCCACGAGCAACUUAU
This 603-nucleotide long non-coding RNA is filed under the name Equus caballus (horse). RNAcentral describes it as "lncRNA (ENSECAG00000033622.2)". The record is from RNAcentral. Lineage: Eukaryota; Metazoa; Chordata; Mammalia; Perissodactyla; Equidae.